RNAcentral lists this ribosomal RNA (423 nucleotides) under bacterium M3A-305-16S. Its description in RNAcentral is "bacterial SSU rRNA". It matches the Rfam family "Bacterial small subunit ribosomal RNA", at positions 68 to 507 of the family's 1533-position model. The record is from RNAcentral.
GAUGAACCACUUCGGUGGGGAUUAGUGGCGAACGGGUGAGUAACACGUGGGCAAUCUGCCCUGCACUCUGGGACAAGCCCUGGAAACGGGGUCUAAUACCGGAUACUGAUCCGUCUGGGCAUCCAGACGGUUCGAAAGCUCCGGCGGUGCAGGAUGAGCCCGCGGCCUAUCAGCUUGUUGGUGAGGUAGUGGCUCACCAAGGCGACGACGGGUAGCCGGCCUGAGAGGGCGACCGGCCACACUGGGACUGAGACACGGCCCAGACUCCUACGGGAGGCAGCAGUGGGGAAUAUUGCACAAUGGGCGAAAGCCUGAUGCAGCGACGCCGCGUGAGGGAUGACGGCCUUCGGGUUGUAAACCUCUUUCAGCAGGGAAGAAGCGAAAGUGACGGUACCUGCAGAAGAAGCGCCGGCUAACUACGUG